Molecule: ribosomal RNA, 311 nt
Filed under: uncultured fungus
Lineage: Eukaryota; Fungi
Description: SSU rRNA
Rfam family: Eukaryotic small subunit ribosomal RNA
Source: RNAcentral
UUGGAGUCAUAUUCUUGUUUCAAAGAAUAAACCAAGCAAGUUUAAGUAUAAACAAUUUAUACUGUGAAACUGCGAAUGGCUCAUUAAAUCAGUUAUAGUUUAUUUGAUAGUACCUUUACCUGGAUAACCGUGGUAAUUCUAGAGCUAAUACAUGCCAAAAACCCCGACUCCGGAAGGGGUGUAUUUAUUAGAUAAAAAACCAAUGCCCUCCGGGGCUCCUUGGUGAUUCAUGAUAACUUAACGAAUCGCAUGGCCUUGCGCCGGCGAUGGUUCAUUCAAAUUUCUGCCCUAUCAACUUCGAUGUAGAUAGC